UGAUGGAAGUGCUAUGUGGCUUCUGAGGCUAGGUCUUUAAAAGAAUAGCUUUCUCUCUCUCUUCCUCUUUUUCUCUCAUCAUUUGCUCUGGGGAAGGCAGCAGCCAUGGCAUGUAGCUCCUCAAGCAUCCCAGUGGAGAGGUUGACGUGAAGAGGGGCUGAGAUGUUCCACCAAGUACCGUCUGCCAGCUACGUAGGUCAGCCGUUUUGGAAGCAGACCGUCAGCCCAGUCCAGGCUCCAUGUGACUGCCGAGCUUCGGCCUGCAUCUUGCUGCAACCUCAUGAGAGACCUGAGCCAGAACUGCCCAGCCAAGCUGCCCCCGGAUCCCUGAUCCACAGAAACUGUGAGUGUAGACUGUAAGCUCCAGGAGGCCUAUUUCCAUGGACUGUUUCUACUCACCACUGCGCAUGGCGCGCAACAGGUUAAGCCAGCUGCCAGAGCUUCUGCGACCAACUCCGGCUCACAUUACCCUCGCGUGGAAAGAUGGGCCUGGCCCAAGCUGCAUUAUGAAAGCAGAGAACUAUCUCUCUCCCAGAUUAUGGCAAAAGAACUGGUUGCCAUACAUAUGGUGACCAGAGUUUUCAGCAAUCUUACUUUCGCUCCUCAAGAAAAUGAACAAAACAUGGCACACAGACAUGGCCAGAAUGGGUAAGAUUUUAACAACCUGCCAGUUGGAGGUAAUGGCUCAAAAAAAAAAAGAGGAAAUUUGACCAUUCUGAGUGAUAAAUAAUUGUCAAGCUACUCAUUUCCUAACAAAGUGGAAAAAUAAUAAAAAUAGAGAUAAAUCUUUGGUGCUACACGGGAUAAAAUGAUUGUUAGGGUAGGAUUUGUUUAACUGGAGAGACAUCCUCCCCCCAGCUAACCCACGGAGGGUUGUCAUUGGUCACAAUAGAACUCAGAGCAUCAGUUUAUGGAAUCAGUGGGGGUAACCAAUACUGAAAAGGCACUACUGAUGAAAUCUGUUACUUUCUUCACUUGUCCACUCUUCUCCUUUGACCUUGAGGAUGCUCCUCAAAAUGAUGUUACCCCAAAGUAGCAACAAUCUUUUUGAAAUAAAACCUAA
This is a long non-coding RNA of Manis javanica (Malayan pangolin), 1063 nucleotides long. RefSeq lists it as uncharacterized. NCBI's taxonomy places the organism in Eukaryota, Metazoa, Chordata, Mammalia, Pholidota, Manidae. The record is from RefSeq and is a predicted model, not a curated record.